UUCCAUCACAUAUAUGGGAGGAUCACCGUAUUGAGUCUGAAAGUUCCUGGGAGGCGGGAGGCGGCCAGCCUGGUUCAUCAGCAUCCAGUCCUCUAGUGCUGCCACCUAGUGGACGCUUAAUAAUCUCUGGAUACUUGGAAAUUCUGAGAUGCAUUUGUGGCCAGUCUCCAGCAUGCACACAGGACUUGGAUUAUGCAUUUGUGUGUGACGUCUUACUCUCCCUCCCAGCUGCUCCUUUUGUCUAUUAUUCUAAGACCUGUCUGAGGUAUGCAUACACUUCUGCAAGCUGGUUCUCAAAUCCUUCUUUUUUUUGGAACAAAACUGAAGGAGUACUGCACAAAGAAAUAAUCAUAUUGGAAUUUUCUGGACAUUUUCAUGGUUUGUGGUGUCCAACUAUGUGGAAUUGAGUUUGUUCCAGUAAAUCUGGAAUGAAUUGACAUCCUAUCCACAGAGUAUGGACUUACGUGUAUAACACGCAUGUGUACACACACACACACACACACACACACGUGCACACGAAUUCCUGUCUUGGUGCAGACACUGGCAUUGGCAGUAAAACAUCAAUUCCAAACUGAAAGAUCUCACAUGGCAGUGGCCUUGCUGCCUGGGACCCCUGCAGGGCGGAGGUGUGGGGAGGGACAGAGAUUUGGAUAUGGGCCUUGGAGGGCUGGAGGCUGGUGCUGGGAACAAGCGAUGAUAAUGAUGGUGACAGGUCUGGAACUGGCCCAGCCAGCACCUCCCACCAGGGCUCUUUGGCCUGAGCUCAUCUCCUAGAAAUUUUCAGGAUCGUGCCUUGCAUUUUUCUCCCCCCAUUUCCACCUGUGGGGAACCCCAUGGCUGGCUGCUGAAGAUGCCAGCCAAGUCCUCUGCUUCCAGUUUCUGAAGGGUGAAAGGAGGAGGCUGUGGGGUAGGGAGAGAGGAGAGUCUCUGUGAAGAUGGGAAGAAGCGCCUCAGCUUGUCUCCCUCAGGACAUUCUCUGGAGCCUGUCUUCUAGAGCAUCCAUCACAGGCCUCGUUUCACUUUUAUUUAGGAGGCUGUUUGGUAAGAGUCCAUCUCCUCAUAGCUUCUAACCUUGUCUGUUUUUAUUCUCCAUUGAAUCCCAUGGUUUUGCCUAUGGUACUGCUGUUUGCUUAAGGAUGAAUGAAUGAAUGAAGAGUUUUUCCCUUCAUCCCUGCAGAGGCCGUGAG
This 1187-nucleotide long non-coding RNA is filed under the name Homo sapiens (human). RNAcentral's name for it is "HSALNT0221657". The record is from RNAcentral. Lineage: Eukaryota; Metazoa; Chordata; Mammalia; Primates; Hominidae.